GGAGGUUGUGACUAGUGACAGUGAGGAAGGGUGUGACUAGUGACAGAGUGAGGGAGGGUGUGACUAGUGACAGAGAGAGGGAGGAGGUGACUAGUGACAGAGAGAGGGAGGGGGUGACUAGUGGCAGAGUGAGGGAGGGAAGGGGUGACUAGUGACAGUCACCACCUCCUUCACUCUGUCACUGUGUCACCCCCUUCCUCACUCUGUCACUAGUCACCCACUCCCUCCCUCACUUUGUCACUAGUCACAUCCUCUCUCACUCUGUCACCAGUCAUUCCCUCACUCUGUCACCAGUCAUCCCUUCCUUUCCUCACUCUGCCACUAGUCAUCCCUUCCCUCACU
RNAcentral lists this small RNA (342 nucleotides) under Pelobates cultripes (western spadefoot toad). The record is from RNAcentral. Lineage: Eukaryota; Metazoa; Chordata; Amphibia; Anura; Pelobatidae.